RNAcentral lists this transfer RNA (64 nucleotides) under Clione limacina. RNAcentral describes it as "tRNA-Leu". Lineage: Eukaryota; Metazoa; Mollusca; Gastropoda; Pteropoda; Clionidae. RNAcentral also lists the same sequence under 1 other name. The record is from RNAcentral.
UUUAAAGUGGCAGAAACAUAUAUGCAUUGGAUUUAAACUCCAAAGAUGGGUACCCCCUUUAAAA